AGUGAACGCUGGCGGUAGGCCUAACACAUGCAAGUCGAACGGCAGCACAGUAAGAGCUUGCUCUUACGGGAGGCGAGUGGCGGACGUGUGAGGAGUACAUCGGAAUCUACUUUUUCGGGGGGGAUAACGUAGGGAAACUUACGCUAAUACCGCAUACGCCCUACGGGUGAAAGCAGGGGCUCUUCGGACCUUGCGCGAUUGAAUGAGCAGAUGUGGGAUUAGCGAGUUGGCGGGGUAAAGGCCCACCAAGGAGACGAUCCGUAGCUGGUCUGAGAGGAUGAUCAGCCACACUGGAACUGAGACACGGUCCAGACUCCUACGGGAGGCAGCAGUGGGGAAUAUUGGACAAUGGGCGCAAGCCUGAUCCAGCCAUACCGCGUGGAUGAAGAAGGCCUUCGGGUUGUAAAGCCCUUUUGUUGGGAAAGAAAAGCAGAAGGUUAAUACCCCGCUGUUUUGACGUUACCCAAAGAAGAAGCACCGGCUAACUUCGUG
Molecule: ribosomal RNA, 492 nt
Filed under: uncultured bacterium
Lineage: Bacteria
Description: partial 16S ribosomal RNA
Rfam family: Bacterial small subunit ribosomal RNA
Source: RNAcentral